Molecule: ribosomal RNA, 956 nt
Filed under: Kocuria atrinae
Lineage: Bacteria; Bacillati; Actinomycetota; Actinomycetes; Micrococcales; Micrococcaceae
Description: bacterial SSU rRNA
Rfam family: Bacterial small subunit ribosomal RNA
Source: RNAcentral
UGGGACUGAGACAUCGGCCCAGACUCCUACGGGAGGCAGCAGUGGGGAAUAUUGCACAAUGGGCGAAAGCCUGAUGCAGCGACGCCGCGUGAGGGAUGACGGCCUUCGGAUUGUAAACCUCUUUCAGCACGGAAGAAGCGAAAGUGACGGUACGUGCAGAAGAAGCGCCGGCUAACUACGUGCCAGCAGCCGCGGUAAUACGUAGGGCGCAAGCGUUGUCCGGAAUUAUUGGGCGUAAAGAGCUCGUAGGCGGUUUGUCGCGUCUGCUGUGAAAGCCCGGGGCUUAACCCCNGUGGUGUGCAGUGGGUACGGGCAGACUAGAGUGCAGUAGGGGAGACUGGAAUUCCUGGUGUAGCGGUGAAAUGCGCAGAUAUCAGGAGGAACACCGAUGGCGAAGGCAGGUCUCUGGGCUGUUACUGACGCUGAGGAGCGAAAGCAUGGGGAGCGAACAGGAUUAGAUACCCUGGUAGUCCAUGCCGUAAACGUUGGGCACUAGGUGUGGGGGACAUUCCACGUUUUCCGCGCCGUAGCUAACGCAUUAAGUGCCCCGCCUGGGGAGUACGGCCGCAAGGCUAAAACUCAAAGGAAUUGACGGGGGCCCGCACAAGCGGCGGAGCAUGCGGAUUAAUUCGAUGCAACGCGAAGAACCUUACCAAGGCUUGACAUACACCAGACCGGUCCAGAGAUGGUCCUUCCCCUUUGGGGUUGGUGUACAGGUGGUGCAUGAUUGUCGUCAGCUCGUGUCGUGAGAUGUUGGGUUAAGUCCCGCAACGAGCGCAACCCUCGCUCCUAUGUUGCCAGCACGUGAUGGUGGGGACUCAUAGGAGACUGCCGGGGUCAACUCGGAGGAAGGUGGGGAUGACGUCAAAUCAUCAUGCCCCUUAUGUCUUGGGCUGCACGCAUGCUACAAUGCCCGGUACAAUGGGAUGGCGAAUACCGUGAGGUGGGAGCUUAAU